GGGUGAGUAAAAUGUGGGUAAUCUGUCUUCCAGAGGGGGAUAACCCGGCGAAAGCUGGGCUAAAACCGCGUAACGUUUAGAUUGCCAAGGUGAUUUAAAUCAAAACAUGGCCUCUAUUAAUAAGCCAUGGCUGGGAGGUGAGCCCACAUCCUAUCACGCUUGUUGGUGGGGUAAAGGCCUACCAAGGCGACGACGGGUAGCCGGCCUGAGAGGGUGUCCGGCCACACUGGAACUGAGACACGGUCCAGACUCCUACGGGAGGCAGCAGUGGGGAAUUUUUCGCAAUGGGCGCAAGCCUGACGAAGCAACGCCGCGUAGAGGAUGAAGGCCCUCGCGGUCGUAAACUCUUGUCUAGCGGGACGAAAGUUCACAAGAAGAAUAAGCUUGUGGAUUGACUGUACCUCUGGAGGAAGCUCCGGCCAACUCCGUGCCAGCAGCCGCGGUAAUACGGAGGGAGCAAGCGUUACUCGGAAUUACUGGGCGUAAAGGGCGCGUAG
RNAcentral lists this ribosomal RNA (497 nucleotides) under uncultured Carboxydothermus sp. Its description in RNAcentral is "bacterial SSU rRNA". It matches the Rfam family "Bacterial small subunit ribosomal RNA", at positions 104 to 574 of the family's 1533-position model. Lineage: Bacteria; Bacillati; Bacillota; Clostridia; Thermoanaerobacterales; Thermoanaerobacteraceae. The record is from RNAcentral.